RNAcentral lists this ribosomal RNA (385 nucleotides) under uncultured bacterium. Its description in RNAcentral is "bacterial SSU rRNA". It matches the Rfam family "Bacterial small subunit ribosomal RNA", at positions 29 to 421 of the family's 1533-position model. The record is from RNAcentral.
AAUGAACGCUGGCGGCGUGCUUAACACAUGCAAGUCGAACGCGAAAGUCCUUCGGAUGAGUAAAGUGGCGAACGGGUGGCAUAACGCGUAGGAAUCUACCCUUGGGUGAAGGAUACCCUAGAGAAAUUUAGGCUAAUACUGCAUAAGCCGGGAAACCGGGAAAGGUGGCCUCUUGCUACCGCACAAGGAUGAGCCUGCGUACUAUUAGUUAGUUGGUGAGGUAAAGGCUCACCAAGACGAAGAUGGUUAGCUGGCCUGAGAGGGUGUACAGCCACAAUGGGACUGAGAUACGGCCCAUACUCCUACGGGAGGCAGCAGUGGGGAAUAUUGCACAAUGGGCGAAAGCCUGAUGCAGCGACGCCGCGUGGAGGAUGACGGUUUUCGG